RNAcentral lists this ribosomal RNA (253 nucleotides) under uncultured bacterium. RNAcentral's name for it is "partial 16S ribosomal RNA". It matches the Rfam family "Bacterial small subunit ribosomal RNA", at positions 524 to 776 of the family's 1533-position model. The record is from RNAcentral.
AACGUAGGAGGCGAGCGUUAUCCGGAGUUACUGGGCGUAAAGAGCGUGUAGGCGGGUACGCAAGUUUGGCGUGAAAGCUCCCGGCUAAACUGGGAGAGUGCGCUGAAGACUGCGUGUCUAGAGGCGAGUAGAGGGACGUGGAAUUCCGGGUGUAGUGGUGAAAUGCGUAGAUAUGUGGAGGAAUACCGAUGGCGAAGGCAGCCUCCUGGGCCAACACUGACGCUCAUGCACGAAAGCGUGGGGAGCAAACAGG